This 498-nucleotide ribosomal RNA is filed under the name uncultured bacterium. RNAcentral describes it as "partial 16S ribosomal RNA". It matches the Rfam family "Bacterial small subunit ribosomal RNA", at positions 30 to 523 of the family's 1533-position model. The record is from RNAcentral.
AUUGAACGCUGGCGGCAUGCUUUACACAUGCAAGUCGAACGGUAACAGGCCGCAAGGUGCUGACGAGUGGCGAACGGGUGAGUAAUGCAUCGGAACGUGCCCAGUCGUGGGGGAUAACGCAGCGAAAGCUGUGCUAAUACCGCAUACGAUCUAUGGAUGAAAGCGGGGGACCGUAAGGCCUCGCGCGAUUGGAGCGGCCUAUGUCAGAUUAGGUAGUUGGUGGGGUAAAGGCUCACCAAGCCAACGAUCUGUAGCUGGUCUGAGAGGACGACCAGCCACACUGGGACUGAGACACGGCCCAGACUCCUACGGGAGGCAGCAGUGGGGAAUUUUGGACAAUGGGCGCAAGCCUGAUCCAGCAAUGCCGCGUGCAGGAAGAAGGCCUUCGGGUUGUAAACUGCUUUUGUACGGAACGAAAAGGUUUGGGUUAAUACCCUGGGCCGAUGACGGUACCGUAAGAAUAAGCACCGGCUAACUACGUGCCAGCCGCCGCCGUAA